GAUGAACGCUGGCGGCGUGCCUAAUACAUGCAAGUCGAGCGAACAGAUAAGGAGCUUGCUCCUUUGACGUUAGCGGCGGACGGGUGAGUAACACGUGGGUAACCUACCUAUAAGACUGGGAUAACUUCGGGAAACCGGAGCUAAUACCGGAUAACAUUUGGAACCGCAUGGUUCUAAAGUGAAUGAUGGUUUUGCUAUCACUUAUAGAUGGACCCGCGCCGUAUUAGCUAGUUGGUAAGGUAACGGCUUACCAAGGCAACGAUACGUAGCCGACCUGAGAGGCGGGUAGGCCGCCCGGGAACUGAGCCGCGGUCCAGACUACUAGGGGAGGGCGCAGAAGGCAACGUGCGGCAAUGGGCGAAAGCCUGACGGAGCAACGCCGCGUGAGUGAUAGCGAGUUUCGGCGCGUAAAGCUCUGUUAUUAGGGAAGAACAAACGUGUAAGUAAAUGUGCACGUAUUGACGGUAACUAAUAAGAAAGCAACGGCUAACUACGUG
RNAcentral lists this ribosomal RNA (497 nucleotides) under uncultured bacterium. Its description in RNAcentral is "partial 16S ribosomal RNA". It matches the Rfam family "Bacterial small subunit ribosomal RNA", at positions 28 to 507 of the family's 1533-position model. The record is from RNAcentral.